CACGCAGCCCUGGUCGACGUCAAGAAUAUGCUGUCAUCUCUAAAAUAUUAGGUAAAUAUAAAAGUAAAGAAAAUAACAUGCAUAAUAUUGUGGCAAUAUACCUACAGGUCAUUCGUGAAAUGCCAGACCCCCUUGAACAGUCGAAAUAAAGAUCAACGAAGAAGGUGAAAAAGGCUGCAUUGAAAGAGCCUUUAAGUUCGAACCUUAUCUCCUCCGUUUCAUGGCUUCGAGUUUUUGUCAGAUGGUAAUAAUAUACUCGAUAUUUCUUCUUAUUGAUAGUUCCAUUAUUCGUUUUACAGCCCUGGUUACCAAAACAACAAAAGCAGCGACAAAUCCCAAAUUGCAUCGCUAAUAAGCGCACAACGGAAUUAGGACAUGUCCAAGACCUUAAAUCUGUACUGUACCCUGUCACCGAAGAACUGCAGUACAUCUGCAGUUUAGCUGCAAGUAUUGGCAGUUCGCAGGUUGAUUGAGCGAUAGGAAGCACAUGUGGAUGUUGACAGCUGAAAUGCUCUCAAAUGCUUUCCAUUGGGACAGGAUCGGAUGGUUACCUUGGCCAUGAGCAAGGAUUCGUAUGCAUAUAGGAUCAAGCGGUGCACUGAGAAGGUAAGUUGUGUAUUGAUUCUGGUAGUAGCUUUCUUUUUACAUAUGUAUGUAUUCCCGUUUGUUGUUUUCCAGAAAAUCGAAAACGAACGCGUCUCUCGCAGCUCUAAGAUUCACGGAUGGCUGAUGAGCCCGGUUCGCCAAUCGAUAUCCCAACAUUGGGAAACCUAUGUGUUCCAGUUGGAGCGUGAAUGCCCCGUCACCACAACCCUCUUCCCGCAGAAACGUUGAUGGGUCGUUGAUUCAUGCAAACUUGGGUGUACCUUUGAUCUGGAUAACUAGUUCCACAUCGAAGUUACCGAUUUCCACUCAGAAUAAUGCCAAGUCGGAUUAGAGCACAGGUUAAGAUUAUAACACAAAACAUACACAACAUUAAAAAAAUAUGUAGAUUUUGUAUAUCAAUAAAAAGUGUAGCUACUUUCACAAUGCUCGGAUAAUGCUGAUGGAACUUAUGCAUUUUCUUUCAGGGGGUCCUUUUAUUUUAAAAAUUAUGGCCUAAUUUCAGGUAAAACAGACGUAUCCUGCAGUCCUUGAGGUCCUUGAUGGAUUUCAAUCCUUCCGGAUGCAAGGACAUAAAGGACAUGUUUGUGUACAUUGUGUAUCCUUAGCAUAUCUUGCGACCAAAUCUGCGGGAGGAUGGUUGCAAUGACGUCGCGCUCACACUCCAGUUGGCCACCAAGAAGUUGAGAUAAAUGUUGGGGUACGACACCGCUAUCACAUCGGCCAAUGUGUGUGUUUGGAGAGCUGCAAGAUCCUCAUCCUUCAGCUCCAUGAUAACGAAAUCGGAUUUGAUUUUCUGA
RNAcentral lists this long non-coding RNA (1403 nucleotides) under Drosophila guanche. Lineage: Eukaryota; Metazoa; Arthropoda; Insecta; Diptera; Drosophilidae. The record is from RNAcentral.